RNAcentral lists this ribosomal RNA (253 nucleotides) under uncultured bacterium. Its description in RNAcentral is "partial 16S ribosomal RNA". It matches the Rfam family "Bacterial small subunit ribosomal RNA", at positions 524 to 776 of the family's 1533-position model. The record is from RNAcentral.
CACGUAGGGCGCAAGCGUUGUCCGGAAUUAUUGGGCGUAAAGAGCUCGUAGGCGGUCUGUUACGUCUGCUGUGAAACCCGGGGCUUAACCCUGGGCUUGCAGUGGAUACGGGCAGACUAGAGUUCGGUAGGGGAGACUGGAAUUCCUGGUGUAGCAGGUGAAAUGCGCAGAUAUCAGGAGGAACACCAAUGGCGAAGGCAGCUCGCUGGGACGGUACUGACGCUGAGACGCGAAAGCGUGGGGAGCAAACAGG